This 253-nucleotide ribosomal RNA is filed under the name uncultured bacterium. RNAcentral describes it as "partial 16S ribosomal RNA". It matches the Rfam family "Bacterial small subunit ribosomal RNA", at positions 524 to 776 of the family's 1533-position model. The record is from RNAcentral.
UACGUAGGGGGCUAGCGUUGUCCGGAAUCAUUGGGCGUAAAGCGCGUGUAGGCGGUUCGAUAAGUCUGCUGUGAAAGUCCAGGGCUCAACCCUGGGAUGCCGGUGGAUACUGUCGAGCUAGAGUACGGAAGAGGCGAGUGGAAUUCCCGGUGUAGCAGUGAAAUGCGUAGAGAUCAUGAGGAAGACCAGUGGCGAAGGCGGGUCUCUGGACAGUUCCUGACACUGAGACACGAAGGCCAGGGGAGCAAACGGG